Molecule: ribosomal RNA, 433 nt
Filed under: uncultured bacterium
Lineage: Bacteria
Description: partial 16S ribosomal RNA
Rfam family: Bacterial small subunit ribosomal RNA
Source: RNAcentral
AACGAACGCUGGCGGCAUGCCUAACACAUGCAAGUCGAACGAGACCUUCGGGUCUAGUGGCGCACGGGUGCGUAACGCGUGGGAACCUGCCCUUAGGUUCGGAAUAACUCCCCGAAAGGGGUGCUAAUACCGGAUAAUGUCUUCGGACCAAAGAUUUAUCGCCUUUGGAUGGGCCCGCGUUGGAUUAGCUAGUUGGUAGGGUAAAAGCCUACCAAGGCGACGAUCCAUAGCUGGUCUGAGAGGAUGAUCAGCCACACUGGGACUGAGACACGGCCCAGACUCCUACGGGAAGGAGCAGUGGGGAAUAUUGGACAAGGGGCGAAAGCCUGAUACAGCAAUGCCGCGUGAGUGAUGAAGGCCUUAGGGUUGUAAAGCUCUUUUACCCGGGAUGAUAAUGACAGUACCGGGAGAAUAAGCUCCGGCUAACUCCGUG